GAUGAACGCUGGCGGCGUGCCUAAUACAUGCCAGUCGAGCGAACAGAUAAGGAGCUUGCUCCUUUGACGUUAGCGGCGGACGGGUGAGUAACACGUGGGUAACCUACCUAUAAGACUGGAAUAACUCCGGGAAACCGGGGCUAAUGCCGGAUAACAUUUAGAACCGCAUGGUUCUAAAGUGAAAGAUGGUUUUGCUAUCACUUAUAGAUGGACCCGCGCCGUAUUAGCUAGUUGGUAAGGUAACGGCUUACCAAGGCAACGAUACAUAGCCGACCUGAGAGGGUGAUCGGCCACACUGGAACUGAGACACGGUCCAGACUCCUACGGGAGGCAGCAGUAGGGAAUCUUCCGCAAUGGGCGAAAGCCUGACGGAGCAACGCCGCGUGAGUGAUGAAGGUCUUCGGAUCGUAAAACUCUGUUAUUAGGGAAGAACAAAUGUGUAAGUAACUGUGCACGUCUUGACGGUACCUAAUCAGAAAGCCACGGCUAACUACGUG
RNAcentral lists this ribosomal RNA (497 nucleotides) under uncultured bacterium. RNAcentral describes it as "partial 16S ribosomal RNA". It matches the Rfam family "Bacterial small subunit ribosomal RNA", at positions 28 to 507 of the family's 1533-position model. The record is from RNAcentral.